AAGAUCUCACCUCUUCUUGUCCCCACCGUCUUCACUGAAGGCUUCACUUUAUAUUUUCUUCUUCCGUUUCUUCUGGCUCCUCCUCGGCUGCCCAUAUUGUGUUCGCUUCUCUCUCCAGCACAGCCUACUGCGCCCCAGUGUGUCUAGCGGCGCAGCACCCCUCGGCGGUUGGUCACAGCGUACUUGUAUAGAGCGGAGAACAACACACACACGACUGCCUCCUCCCGAGUGUCUGCAUUGCCUGCCUUCUUCACUAUUUCCUCCCCGACCCUCAUACCACGGCACGUCCUCUUCCGCAGCAACGCAUACGCACCUUCGUCUCUAUUUCCUUGGUUGCCCGUCGUUCUUCUUGGUCAAGAGCCAUCCCUGCAAGAUACAGCAUCGCUUAUAACGCGUGCACAUCACAUACAAGUACGCACCGCACAACGCUCUGUUCUACCCCUUCACUCGAAAGCUCCAUCUCACACAAAGGCAGCGCUCAUCUUCAUUCCGCCGCCUUCCACAGCACGAGAACGAAAGAAAAACGAAGGAAAAGGGUAACAAGAGACCUCACACGCCUUCUCUCCCUUCCCCUCCACCCCUCCUCUGUCUACUGUAGCAACGCAGUGCCGCACUUCUUUGAUACACUCGACAGACGCGCCUCUUCACUUCCUCGUCUGUUUCACAGCGUCUUCGUUUUUACGCUCUUUUGUUUGGCUUUGUUGUUUUGUGUGCACACCACGCGCCAGCCGCCGACUACUCCCCCCCCCCUCCCCUCUACUUGUGCGUGAAGUGGACUCGUGAUUUCUGUUUGAGCCAACGCCUCCUUGGCGGCAUCUGCUCUGCCGCUUGCUGCUGCUUGUCAAAGUGAAGAAGUAAAUCAGGAGGUGGACACUCGCCUCGACACCUCUGUCGCUUUCCUUUUCGGCCUCUUGCGCAGUCUCCACCGCAUUCUCCUGCUGUCCGCUUCACUGCACUCUUAGCAGAUAAGAAGCGCAGCUUCUGCUCCUCUUUUCCCUGUGCACACUUGUUGUUCGCCUUCAUCAUGGACCCUCCUUCAGUCCCACCGUCGCCGCAGCAAGCGCCGAUCGAGACACCUGGCGGCCACCACCACGCCGUGGCGCUGCGCACCGAGUCCUCCAUCUCGCUGGACACCAUUCAGGCAGUCACCAUCAACCGUGAGAAACUAUCCGAGUGGCACCACAAGAUUCGUGCCAAGCUGUUCCCGAUGGUGUCCGGCUUCUUCGUGCGCUGCCGCGUGGAGGACUCGGUGGAUGGGCGGGCACUGUACAAGGUAGGUCGCAUCAAGAACCUGAAGCCGGACUGGUCCGUUGAGCUGGACCUCCUCACCACUGAUGAGAUCCGCGCUGGCCGGAACAACACCAACUAUGACUGCAUCAGCAACGCUAAGCUGUCUGCCGCAGAGUGCAACUCGUGGCUCGCUCGCGUGUCGCCAGACUUGCUGCCGGAUAUCACCUCUACCAUCUACCGCAUGGAGGAGCGCAUGCACAUGCUGGAGGCCGUCAUCUUAGCCGAGCCGGCCUUCCACAGCCGCCGCCGUGACGAGCGCCGCCGUGAUGAGCAGGCCACCUCCAGCGCCCCGCAGCUGCCGGAGAAGUACGUCUUCUCCCAGAAUGUUCUGCUAUGCGAGGACGACUACGUCAGUCUGCCACAAACGGUCACCAUUGUGGAUCUCUUCCAGAACGCGGUGGGCCCAAAGGGCGUAGCCGAGCCGGACACCCCACGCGCCGGCUGUGCGCCGAACACGCGCUCCCGCGUCGGUGACGAGGCAGUGGCGAGCCACAGCACAAUGAUGCAGCUGCAGGACAUGCGCAACUACAUGAACUCGCCGACGCAGCCACCAGUGGACCCGACGCGGCUGAUCGACAUGAUCCGUCGUGCCGCCAACCCGUCGCACAACAGCUUUACCUACGACAACCUGCCGGAGUUCUGCAAGCUGGUCAUCUCCGUGUGCAGCAUGUGCCGUGAGGUGGUGGCGAAGGAGCCGCUGUUCGUGCACCUGAAGUCUCCCAUCACCGUCUUCGGCGACAUCCACGGCAACUUUGCCGACAUGGGUUACUUCCUGGAGAAGGUGAUCGCCUUCGACGACGUGAUGCUCAAGUACACUAUGCAGAAUCUCCUGUUCCUCGGCGACUACGUUGACCGCGGCGUCUUUUCCCUGGAGUGCGUUAUGUACCUCUUUGCCUUGAAAGUGAUCAACCCCACCAAGGUGACGCUGCUGCGCGGCAACCAUGAGUCACCCGAGGUGAACGGGGACAUGGAUGUGUACGGCUACAGCUCGUUCAAGUACCAGUGCCUCGACAAGUUUGGCCGCGACCGCGGCAUGGAUGUGUGGGUGGCGGUCAACGAAGUGUUCCAGUACUUACCGGUGAUCGCCGAUAUCGACAAGAAGAUCUUCUGCGUUCACGGUGGCUUGCCGCAGUACUCCGGCGGCGAAGACAAGCGCCUCGAGAUUCUGUCCGACCCGAACUUUCCGCGGAUUCCGGUGGUGCAGUGCGCGGACCCCACCAACGUGGCGCAGCGCAUGAUGGUGAAUGACCUACUCUGGUCUGACCCUGCGCCGCCCGACCAGCAACUCGACCGCUACGGCUUCGGCCCCAACCCCCGAGGCCCGGAUAUCAAGACGUUUGGCUCCCGGGCAGUGGACAUGUUCUGUGAAAGGUACAACUACCAGUACAUUUUUCGCGCGCACCAGGAGAAGGCGGAUGGGCUACGGCUCUCCGACAACGCUCGUGUUGUCACCAUCUUCUCCACGUCUGACUACGCCGGGCACCAGAACGGUGCGGGCUGCAUUUUUGUGGCGAAUGGAAAGAUGCGCAUGGCCAUCAAGAAGCCGCAGCGGCAGGAAGUGCAGCGAGAAACAAAGGGACCGGUUUCACCGCGCACACUGUCCAAGAGUGCGCCUGGCUUUGUCGUGCGCAUGAAAAAGCCGCAGUGAGGCGGUUCUGGCCACCUCGAGGACAGAGGGAGAGGGGGGAAAGAGAAAGGCCUUGUGGUGCGUGCGUGUCUUCUGUCUCUGUGGUGUGAGGGCAAGGCAGCGUGGGAGAUGAGCGGUUGAUGUGACGGCGAAGGAAGACGGCGGCAUUGCCGCUACCCGACAGCUCUUCUCUGCACACGUGCACCUCUGGCGCGUGCAGUGACACUUGCAGUCGCCCUGCAUCUCCGUCUCCGAUUGCUCAAAGACCUGGCCAGAGCGCUCACAAGCUGUCUCACCACCACGUCACACCACGUUGUCCGCUCUCGACCUUUUGUGCCUUCCGCACCGCUUCCUCCUUCUCUCGUUUCCUUUGAUCUCUGCAGACAGUUCUCUGCUCUCCCUGGCGUUGUCGUUGACUCAUCCUUGACUUGUCUUGCCCACUCGUCCAACUCGUGUCCGUAUUGCGCGCGCAUGUUGCGUUUUCGCUUCUCCCACUCUCUCGCCCUCUGCCUCUGCCGCACACCCCCUUUUCCUUUUCCGGAACUGGAUGUCACGUGCUUCUGUUCUGUAGUUUUUCUUCGCUCUGGAAUACUGGGCGAUGGGGGACGCCUCAGUGCGCCGUAUCUCAGAGUCCAGCACCCCCCCCUCCACAGUCGCUGCGUUGGAAAGCCGGGCAGCCCUCCUAUGUCCCUGCCACGUGCCGAGCCGCUUCUGGUGGUGACGGGGCCAGGCGCCAACACUGCUGAAAACGACUGAGCGAUGUGCCGCUGGUGGUGUCGGCGGUCAGGUCCUGGACGGCGCUGCGUCGGAGCGACCUGCGACCGUGUGAGCGCGCUUGUGCCAUCCAUGCGAUCAGGCCGAGUGCCAGCGUGUCUCGUCCGGCCCCGACACUGCCUGCUGGUGUGGGGAACGCGAACCCCCCCCCCCGACAGCAGCACCAGGUGCUGACCAGCGUGAUGGAAGCGGCUGCGAGGCGACCUGCGAGACGGUGGCGGGCGGAGAGGUUGAGGCAGGGGCCGCUCACAGAUGGCCGCGUCAGCGCAUGUGGUGCAACGCUUGUGUGCCGCUGCGUGGCACCGCGCGGACGGGGUCUUGCGUGAGGGCUUUGGCUCGUGCUGCGCGGUGGAGCCGUGGACACGCGUAUCUGCAGAAAGCCAUGGCGGCUCGCUUACGGUUCUUCGCAUUCCCGUUCGUUGUGUUUCGUGUUCUUGCUCCCCUUGAGCCGCUGAUAGGCAGGGCCUCUUUCCUUUUUCGUAUUAGAACUCUUCUCUGCUGCUAGGACUCGGUGCCGGUAGGCGACGGUGCGCCCACUGGCGACGUUGAAAUAUCCGUCUGUUUGUGUAGGAAAAGAGAGAGGCGAUGGGCGGGGUGGGUGGGUGAGUGGGGCGUUGAGGAUGGCUUUCGACUUGUAAGCAUGUCCUUUCUCGUGCGCAUGCGUGCUCGCAUGUAUGUGGUCGUGCUCCUCCUCCUCGACCUCAGAUGGAUGGGGUGUAUGUGCCGUGCAAAGAGAACCCCCAAGGCGAGAGAGGCCGAUGAACGCUGAGAAGUCGAGCGGAGGGAGGAGAGGAGGCACCACGCUACGAGAGAAAAGAGGCAGAGACACGCACAGAGGGAAAGCACCCGCCAACAACAGAGGCAAGCCCAACACGUAACUAUGAAGCGCGAAUAGGAUAAAAGUUACCGAGUCAGAGAUGCACAUGUAGGAGCGUGCGUGUUCUCUUACGUUUCACGUGUGCGGCGGCCCUCAAGCCUGCUGGGGCGUAAAUCGAACUGCAGGCAUGUCGUCGUCGCCAGGGAGGCUGUGCAGCUCCGUCGCGGUGGUGCGGACAAUCAAUGGUUGUGGUGGCGGCGUUGGUGUAGGGAGGGAUAGCUGCGUCGUUUUACGCUGCUUGCUCGUGUACCCACUCCAUCAUGCUUUACUUUCUUUGUUUUCUCGCGAUGGUCUUUCUUACUGCCGCUGUGUGCGCUAGCCUCGCCGUGCGGUGUGUCUUCGCUGUGCCUUUGUAUUUCUAUAUCCACUGAGAGACCUCCAAUGUCCUUCACAGGGGCGUCUGCCUGAGUUGUACCUGUGUGUGUGUGUGUCGUCUCGCCUGUUGCCUCCAAGUGCCCGUCUUCCCCUUCUUCCACCCGCUUCAUUGUCUCUCGAUGUGGUGCACUGCCUCGUGUGCACAUUGCGCUCGUGCCGCUUUUUCUUCGCUUGGUUUCUCUCGGCUUCUCUAUUACCUGUGCGGGGACCUCGCCCCCUCAACGCAGAGAUGUGCGAGUUUUGUUUUCUGUGUGGGAGGGAUGAGGAGGAUGGUGCGUGUGGUUGCAUGGAGGCGCAGGGAAGUGGGCCAGCCAGCACGUGUGUGUGCGGAGGACCAGAGUGGUUCUGGUGAGGCGGGGAGAGAGACGGUCGGAUGUGCGCACCUCUUCUCUUACAAAUCCGGAAUGCUCCCCGCUUCCUCCAGCACCUUUACCCUCGCCUUCUUCUCCCUUUGUUGCUUUAUUGCUGUCUUACAUGAGGUGCGGGUUGUGCCCCAGACCAUCUUCGUUUUUUUUUCUUCGCUCCUCCCCCGCCCCCUUCACUUGCACUCUCCUUGGGACAGGAGGUCGAGGAAGUGCGAGAAGUGAAGGGGGAGUGCAGUCGUGAUGACACUGUGCCUGUGUAUGUUGUGCGUGUGCCUGUGUGUUGUGUUUUCCCGUGUUUUUUGUCCCUUCGCAUGUUUCUUAUCUAUCUACCUCCGACCCCUUUUUCUCUCUCCCCCUCUCCCUCUGUCCUUGAUUGUGUGCUUCUCAUAUGUGAUGGCUUGGCCUGCCUGCCUGUGCGCCUCGGCGUCUUGCUAUCCCGUUGCAAGGGGAAAGAAAAAUAUAUAUAUAUAUAUAUAUAUUAGAGCCAGCUUAUCAUGUGUGUGUGUGUGUGUGUCGGAGAGGAGACGACGGUCGAUGCCGGCGAUGUCAAGCUAUUUCUCGCGAAUCUUAAAAGCACAAGAGUAGAGACGCCUCAUGCUCACGCGUACACAUUCAUAAAGAUCUACACACGCUGCAAGGGGUGCAGAAGUGGCAUCGGGAAAAAGGAGGCUGCGGGAGUGGGAUGAAGACUCUGUGCCGCUUCUCUGUCGACCACUUGCGCUAACAGCGAUGCUGGAAAGGGGCGCAUUGUGAAGCACCGAGCAUGAGAAACGCAAAGAGACUCAUCUACAGCUUGCACGCAUGGCUGCCUGCUGAAGGAUGCGUGCGCAUGGAACCGUGUUCAUUGCUGUC
RNAcentral lists this unclassified non-coding RNA (6160 nucleotides) under Leishmania donovani. RNAcentral's name for it is "gene:LdHU3.05.0130(CDS-product:phosphoprotein_pho sphatase_putative)". Lineage: Eukaryota; Euglenozoa; Kinetoplastea; Trypanosomatida; Trypanosomatidae. The record is from RNAcentral.